RNAcentral lists this long non-coding RNA (1266 nucleotides) under Pavo cristatus (Indian peafowl). RNAcentral's name for it is "lncRNA (ENSPSTG00000005207.1)". Lineage: Eukaryota; Metazoa; Chordata; Aves; Galliformes; Phasianidae. The record is from RNAcentral.
CUAACAAUAAACCGUCUGUUUCUGGAGCCAGCCGCUCGUUUUUCCUUCUGGGUAGAUGCGUUUAUUUGUGCGAUCGGGAUCGUUUUCCUUAGGAGCAGCAGUGCUUUUGUAAAUACUUUAUGUUCGUGGAUAAAGCAACAUUUGGCGGUUGUGGAAGGGAGCUGGGCGAUGGGUGCAGCAGUGCCUGCUCCUCAUGCGCUCCUGCUAUCAGCUGCAGAGUUCUCUCACGGAUAAUAACGCCAUAACGCAUUAAUAUAAAAGCGGGGCAGAGCCCUAUGGCGAACGUUUAAACGUAUUCGGAAUUACUAUUAACACCGGGGGAAGGAAGGAGGUGUUGAGGCCUGUUCUGUUUCCCAGCUCCUUGUGCAGCUCGGGGCUUGCUAACGCCGAGCUGAGGGGCAGAGGGCCGCCGGAGCUGUGCCCGGGCACGGCUGCCAGCCUUUGCCGAACGCCUGUGCCUGCGAGGGGGAGUGGGGCAGAGCCGGGAAGAUGGCGCUGUCUGGCUUCCUGCCAGCGUUUGUUGCGCAGUUUCGCGGUGAUUCUCCUCCCCCACGGGCGCCAUUUUAAGGCCCUCGCUGCUGUCGCUGAGCCGGGUGGGGCGUUGCCUUCGCGUCUGUGUCGGGCGGUCUGUGAAGGAAGCGUUGUUUUCCCGGGCAGACAGAAGCUCCCCUACGUAUCGUAGCCGCGAGUUUUCUUUUCUCCUUGAGAAAGCGGUGUGCGAGGUUCUCUCUGUGCGCUGUGGGGAGAGAGGCGAGGGACUGUUGGCUGCUCUGUGCCCAGGGGUGCUCCUGCCCUCCUUUGUACAAGCAGCUCCCGUCUCUGUCACCCAUGUCUCACGUCUCAGAGGUCUCUGCACCAAGCAUCACCCCAUAGCUGCUUUUCGUACCUAUCAAACGCAUGUUUCUUGGCACGAGCAACAUCUGUAUCCAGGAACAGCAAGGAUGCUACCAGACCAACUUACGCUGAGCCCACUAAGUUGUCAUGGAUGAUGACGAUGAUGAAUCCUGUCUCCUUGAUCUUAUUGGCAAUUACUGUCGUAAGCAUCUAGAAGAAUGGAGAACAGCAUCUUUGGUUUUUGGUAAGUGCCUUCUAAAAUUCCCUAGUUACUAAAUUCAGUAUUUAAGGCGAUGAAAUAUUCUCCCUUUUUAAUUGUGUGUUUUAUGACUUAAAGCCAGUGAGUGAAGUUAAUAUUAAAUGGCUUGAUAAUGUAUCAGUAAAAUAAGCGUGACAGAGCUCGUGAUCUCAUACAGUGAUCUUUCUCCUAAA